GUAGUCCACGCUGUAAACGAUGGGUACUAGAUGUUGGGGGAAUUGACCCCUCCAGUGUCGACGCUAACGCAUUAAGUACCCCGCCUGGGAAGUACGGCCGCAAGGUUAAAACUCAAAGGAAUUGACGGGGGCCCGCACAAGCGGUGGAGCAUGUGGUUUAAUUCGAUGCAACGCGAAGAACCUUACCUGGGUUUGACAUCCUCUGACAGCCGUAGAGAUACGGCCUCCCCUUCGGGGGCAGAGAGACAGGUGCUGCAUGGCUGUCGUCAGCUCGUAUCGUGAGAUGUCGGGUUAAGUCCCUUAACGAGCGCAACCCUUAUCCGUAGUUGCCAUCAUUUAGUUGGGCACUCUACGGAGACCGCCGGCGUUAAGCCGGA
This 377-nucleotide ribosomal RNA is filed under the name uncultured bacterium. RNAcentral describes it as "bacterial SSU rRNA". It matches the Rfam family "Bacterial small subunit ribosomal RNA", at positions 790 to 1167 of the family's 1533-position model. The record is from RNAcentral.